Molecule: ribosomal RNA, 525 nt
Filed under: uncultured bacterium
Lineage: Bacteria
Description: bacterial SSU rRNA
Rfam family: Bacterial small subunit ribosomal RNA
Source: RNAcentral
AGAGUUUGAUCCUGGCUCAGAUUGAACGCUGGCGGCAUGCUUUACACAUGCAAGUCGAACGGCAGCACGGGAGCUUGCUCCUGGUGGCGAGUGGCGAACGGGUGAGUAAUGCAUCGGAACGUGCCCUGAAGUGGGGGAUAACGCAGCGAAAGUUGCGCUAAUACCGCAUAUUCUGUGAGCAGGAAAGCAGGGGAUCGCAAGACCUUGCGCUUUAGGAGCGGCCGAUGUCGGAUUAGCUAGUUGGUGGGGUAAAGGCUCACCAAGGCGACGAUCCGUAGCGGGUCUGAGAGGAUGAUCCGCCACACUGGGACUGAGACACGGCCCAGACUCCUACGGGAGGCAGCAGUGGGGAAUUUUGGACAAUGGGCGCAAGCCUGAUCCAGCCAUGCCGCGUGAGUGAAGAAGGCCUUCGGGUUGUAAAGCUCUUUCGGCGGGGAAGAAAUCGCAUUCUCUAAUACAGGAUGUGGAUGACGGUACCCGAAUAAGAAGCACCGGCUAACUCCGUGCCAGCAGCCGCGGUAAUAC